GAUGAAGAACGUAGCGAAAUGCGAUAAGUAAUGUGAAUUGCAGAAUUCAGUGAAUCAUCGAAUCUUUGAACGCACCUUGCACCCUUUGGCAUUCCGAAGGGUAUGCUCGUUUGAGUGUCAUUGUACUCUCACACUCUCCGAUCCUAUGGAUUCGGGGAGCGGUGGACUUGGGUGUUGCUGCCUUUCCUUGUGGCUCACCUCAAAUGUGUCAGUGCACCUCUUGGUUGGACAUAGUACGGCGUGAUAACUGUCUUCGCCGGCACCUCGCAAGAGGGUGGCCGAUCGGGAGCUCUGUGCUUUCAAACCGUCUUCGGACAAUUUCUGACAACUUGACCUCAAAUCGAGUAGGACUACCCGCUGAACUUAAGCAUAUCAAUAAGCGGAGGA
This 387-nucleotide unclassified non-coding RNA is filed under the name soil metagenome. Its description in RNAcentral is "partial contains 5.8S ribosomal RNA, internal transcribed spacer 2, and large subunit ribosomal RNA". The stretch from base 1 to 120 matches the Rfam family "5.8S ribosomal RNA", at positions 35 to 154 of the family's 154-position model. The record is from RNAcentral.